AUGGUGGUGCAGCGCCCUGUGGAACCAGUAAUAGAGGAACUCGACAGGUCCUAUGUGAAGCAAGGCGGUGAUGAUGGCUCCCUCUGUUAUCCACACGGGCAUGCGACUGACAUUCGGGACAGCUGCGUAGGCCAGGAACUCUCCCGGUCCACCUGGUCGAAUUCAAGUCCACGGUCGACUAUGAUGUGCUUCCUGCGUGCGGUCUGGUGGCGAGACAAGCUGAUCCAGAUCUGGUUGUGGAUCAUCCUCAGCAGCAGAGCUGGUAAUAUGGCGGCGUAUGCCAGGCUCAUGUCUCCCCACCCCUUGGUGACCACCCUGUGCGCAGUGUGCAACGCCGCAGGCGCCAAGACCAGGUACUGUGUAUAUAGAGCAUCAGGUUAA
Molecule: ribosomal RNA, 381 nt
Filed under: Triticum aestivum (bread wheat)
Lineage: Eukaryota; Viridiplantae; Streptophyta; Magnoliopsida; Poales; Poaceae
Description: partial small subunit ribosomal RNA
Source: RNAcentral